GACGAACGCUGGCGGCGUGCUUAACACAUGCAAGUCGAACGGAAAGGCCCUGCUUUUGUGGGGUGCUCGAGUGGCGAACGGGUGAGUAACACGUGAGUAACCUGCCCUUGACUUUGGGAUAACUUCAGGAAACUGGGGCUAAUACCGGAUAGGAGCUCCUGCUGCAUGGUGGGGGUUGGAAAGUUUCGGCUGUUGGGGAUGGGCUCGCGGCUUAUGAGCUUGUUGGUGGGGUAGUGGAUUACCAAGGCUUUGACGGGUAGCCGGCCUGAGAGGGUGACCGGCGACAUUGGGCCUGCGGGAGGGCCCAGACUCGUACGGGAGGCAGAAGGCGAGAAUAUGGCACAAUGGGGGGAAGCCUGAUGUGACGACGCCGCGUGCGGGAUGACGUCCUUCUGGGUGUAAACAGCUUUCGCCUGUGACGUAGAGUGAUUGACGGUAAUGGGUAAAGAAGCACCGGCUAACUACGUG
Molecule: ribosomal RNA, 468 nt
Filed under: uncultured bacterium
Lineage: Bacteria
Description: partial 16S ribosomal RNA
Rfam family: Bacterial small subunit ribosomal RNA
Source: RNAcentral